GUAGGGUGCAAGCGUUAAUCGGAAUUACUGGGCGUAAAGCGUGCGCAGGCGGUUAUGUAAGACAGUUGUGAAAUCCCCGGGCUCAACCUGGGAACUGCAUCUGUGACUGCAUAGCUAGAGUACGGUAGAGGGGGAUGGGAUUCCGCUUGUAGCAGUGAAAUGCGUAGAUAUGCGGAGGAACACCGAUGGCGAAGGCAAUCCCCUGGACCUGUACUGACGCUCAUGCACGAAAGCGUGGGGAGCAAACAGGAUUAGAUACCCUGGUAGUCCACGCCCUAAACGAUGUCAACUGGUUGUUGGGUCUUCACUGACUCAGUAACGAAGCUAACGCGUGAAGUUGACCGCCUGGGGAGUACGGCCGCAAGGUUG
Molecule: ribosomal RNA, 369 nt
Filed under: uncultured bacterium
Lineage: Bacteria
Description: bacterial SSU rRNA
Rfam family: Bacterial small subunit ribosomal RNA
Source: RNAcentral